CUCACGCUUUUGGAGAAACACCAUCACACGCAAUGAAGGUUGGUGUGUGGUUAGCAGACGACGAUUCAUAGGCCUGAUACUUUUUCAAGUAAAUGAAUGUGAUCAAUAAACAAAAUUAGAUGUAGAAAGUGUAUGUAGGUACUGCAAUAAAGUUUUUUAUUUUCAGUAA
This is a long non-coding RNA of Zophobas morio, 169 nucleotides long. RefSeq lists it as uncharacterized. The record is from RefSeq and is a predicted model, not a curated record. The transcript has 2 exons. NCBI's taxonomy places the organism in Eukaryota, Metazoa, Arthropoda, Insecta, Coleoptera, Tenebrionidae.